GUUUUUGCUGAAUAAAUUGUGGAGUUUUUUUUUUUNAAUUCUUUUAUUCAAACAUCAAAAUCUACAAUAGCUAGCGAAUAAUAAAUUUUGAAUUUUAUUAAGAGAAUCAAUGAUUAUUUCUCAUUUCUUCGUGUAGUGACUCGAAUUACUAACUUAAAAGUUGGAUGGAUAAGAUUUUUAUUUUUUUAUUUUUGAUAAUUUAACAGUAUUAAAUAAAAAAAUUUAAAGCCCGC
This 233-nucleotide long non-coding RNA is filed under the name Salvia miltiorrhiza (redroot sage). RNAcentral's name for it is "long non-coding RNA (SMIL_LNC001927)". The record is from RNAcentral. Lineage: Eukaryota; Viridiplantae; Streptophyta; Magnoliopsida; Lamiales; Lamiaceae.